AGGAUCCCCAAUAGUGGGUGUAUUGGUAGGAAGGUUAGGAUCCCCAUUAGUGGGUGUAUUGGUAGGAAGGUUAGGAUCCCCAAUAGUGGGUGUAUUGGUAGGAAGGUUAGGAUCCCCAAUAGUGGGUGUAUUGGUAGGAAGGUUAGGAUCCCCAAUAGUGGGUGUAUUGGUAGGAAGGUUAGGAUCCCCAAUAGUGGGUGUAUUGGUAGGAAGGUUUACAAUAACUGAGGUUAUGUUUUGAACAGGGUGUUUUGCAUUGAACUAGGCUUCACAUAAAGAACACAAAUGCUUUAUCAUAGAGCGUUGUCCUUUAACCAACACAUCUGGCCCAUUUUUUGUUUUUUAAGCUAAUUGUGUACAUUCAGAAACAUUACCGGCAGUAUUUGUUGUGGUUUUGUGUCUAUUCUGUUAACAAUGUCAUACCUUUAUCUCCAAUACUCCAAGACUGAAACUGGUAGAUGAAUUCCAGACCUCAUCACCCCCCUUGUCUGGCUUUUUUUUUUCCUUUGUCAAAAUAAUACUUAGACUUAAAGUAGUCUCAUUCUCAAUCACUACAUCCUUCCACUGGUCCCGCAAUCAAUGAGAUUGAUUAUAAUUUCCCUGUACUAGUGUUUUAAGGAAAUAGUUUGUAGUUAAUACACAAAAUGAAUGAGUACAAGUAUACACCUGUAGGUGUCUUUUCAUAUAUUAAACUCAGUGUACAUGCAGCACAAUGAACUGUAGGAUAUUUUCCUGUUAUCUUCUGAUGCAGGAAAUGUACUGAUAUAACUUAAUUACUACAAACAAUAGGAAUGUUCUUCAUUCAGAUGCUAUACGUCCCAAGUCAUCAGAAUCGAUCUCCCAAAUAUCUUGGUUGUGACCGUCAGACUUAAACUGCAAGGCAGAAAAUAUGCUGAAAUACCAUAUAAAAAGGGAACGAGGUGUGUGUGUGUGUGUGUGUGUUUGCCCUAAAAUUACAAUCAUCUGCAUAUGCUAUCAAUGAGCACAAAACAGAUACAGAAAAAAGAGAUGAAAGCAAGGGUUCAAGGCAGAUGUGCAUUUUGCAGGCAGGGUUUCUUAAGUUGAGAAAUGAGCUCUGUCUGGUCAACAGCCAGGUGGAGAUGGAGGAUGGGAGACUAGAGGUUCUGGAAACACUCCUGUCCUCUCUGUCCCUCUUUGUCGUCUUAAUCAGACUGGCCCUGAACCCCAAUCAUGGUGCUGCGUUAAACCUGUAUGGGAGCAGCACAGUUCAUCUUCCCUUUUUCAUUUGUUCCUCCACUAUUGGCCCUUAGAUAAACUAAAUCUUUGGCUGGAUUUUGUUUUACUCCAUUUCUGAAAAUCAUGACAUAGUUUUGUAAUAUCACAUAAACACCGCUGGGGCCAGACACCAAUAUGUCUCUUGUGACAGUGUACAUGUGUAGAUACUGAACCGCCAUUGUCCUUUUGGAACAGGAGGCAGAAGAAGAAGGGAAGCUUGGCUGGAGCUAGUGCUAGUGCUAGCUCUUCUCACAGCUAGCUAUACUGCCAAGCAUAUCUGCAAGGUUUCACAGAUCUUUGAGCAGCCAGUUCGUUAAUACUGCCCAUUGUUUUGAUCUUAAAUGUUUUUUUCUUUCUUUUCCUUUUUCCUUUUCUUACUUCUGCUACUUUUACCUGUACUGGAUUUUCGGUUAGAUUCCCAAAUGUUCAUUGUAUUUGAAAGCGUUGUGUGUGGCUGAUUGUCCUGCCUGUGGAUACCCAUUGAGUGUUUAGUCUGACUGACAAAAUCAGUCAGUCAGCCAGCCAGCCAGCCAUUUAAAGCACAGUCUGAUUGCUCAUUCAGUUAAAAAGCCAAGAUCACUUAAGAUUGUCAAUCAUUGAGCCCUUCAUUAGUGAAGGAGGACUACUUUAUGGAGAAAAGAUCAGUGUAGUGAUUUUUAAUUGACCAUUUGAUUGCUAGUUGAAGUCAGUGUGGGUGCUGCAGACUCUGGGACUCACCUAAGGAAUGGGUGUUUUGAGGAACACAGUGAGAAUAUGGAUAUAAAAGUGAUAGGGAAGUCUUGGCAGCCCAUGGUUUUGUAUGUUGCAUUUCAUCACUGGUAAUGAUGAAGGCACUAAUGAAAAACUCUCGGACAGCCUUAGGGUAUGUAGUAAAUCCACCCCCACAGCUCAGAGGAGAUGGGAUGGGCUGGAAAGAGCUCAUGGAUGUGAUCAGAGGUAAAGAGGAAGGGAAAGACGAUGACUGGAUCACCCUCUUAACUGUGUGUGUGUGCUUGUGUGUCUGUGUGCGAGUGAGUACAUUUUGUUUAAAAAGACAACUCAAUUUUUUAAAUACUGCUGGAGAUGUACCUGCCAGAGAGAUUACUAUGAUAUGAAAAAAGAAAAUAAGCCUUGUUCGCUUGUUACAUUAUGGAGAAAACUGCCAAGAAGUACUGCUGAUUGAGGCCUAUUUUAUUCAGUGCUGGUGUGUUGUUUUGCUUCUUGUAAAUAAAUGUCUUUUCAGUCAUCCCUUUUCCUCUUGGGGGCGGGGCAUCAAGGCAAGGGGUUGGUCUUACUCAUGAGAGGGAAAAGAAUAGAGUAUUUUGUUAUUGUCCAAUCAGAGGGUGAGACCGUAUGUGUAUAUAUCUAUAUUGUAUAUAUGUGAUGAAAAUGUGUUGGCUUUUUGUGACACUACCUUUUACCUGUACUAUGGUUCUACAUUCAGUGUUUCAAUGUUGAUAAUAUAUAUUUUGUUAUGUUUUUCAGUUUUUGAUUUUGUCUUUGUCAUUUCUUGUAUUUGUUUUCUUUUUCUCCUUUUUGUCCUCUUGGUUAUUGCACGGUUUAUUACUUUUGCUGUCCAAUGAGGUGAUACAGCUACUCUUUGUAUUGGUUUAGUGCUGUAAAAUAACUUGUUAUUAGAGUUGUCGAUACCACCCCCAUCCCCAAUAUGCAUGAAUGGCACUUAAACAAAUAAAAUGUUAACUUCACUGUGG
Long non-coding RNA from Oncorhynchus tshawytscha (Chinook salmon), 2927 nucleotides. The record is from Ensembl. Lineage: Eukaryota; Metazoa; Chordata; Actinopteri; Salmoniformes; Salmonidae.